GAUGAACGCUGGCGGCGUGCCUAAUACAUGCAAGUCGAGCGAACGGACGAGAAGCUUGCUUCUCUGAUGUUAGCGGCGGACGGGUGAGUAACACGUGGAUAACCCACCUAUAAGACUGGGAUAACUUCGGGAAACCGGAGCUAAUACCGGAUAAUAUUUUGAACCGCAUGGUUCAAAAGUGAAAGACGGUCUUGCUGUCACUUAUAGAUGGAUCCGCGCUGCAUUAGCCAGUUGGUAAGGUAACGGCUUACCAAGGCAACGAUGCAUAGCCGACCUGAGAGGGUGAUCGGCCACACUGGAACUGAGACACGGUCCAGACUCCUACGGGAGGCAGCAGUAGGGAAUCUUCCGCAAUGGGCGAAAGCCUGACGGAGCAACGCCGCGUGAGUGAUGAAGGUCUUCGGAUCGUAAAACUCUGUUAUUAGGGAAGAACAUAUGUGUAAGUAACUGUGCACAUCUUGACGGUACCUAAUCAGAAAGCCACGGCUAACUACGUG
RNAcentral lists this ribosomal RNA (497 nucleotides) under uncultured bacterium. Its description in RNAcentral is "partial 16S ribosomal RNA". It matches the Rfam family "Bacterial small subunit ribosomal RNA", at positions 28 to 507 of the family's 1533-position model. The record is from RNAcentral.